GGCUGGGUAGCUCAGUUGGUUAGAGCAUUGUCCUGAGAAGCCAAGGUUGUGGGUUGGAUCCCUGGUCA
Non-coding RNA from Myotis lucifugus (little brown bat), 68 nucleotides. The record is from Rfam. Lineage: Eukaryota; Metazoa; Chordata; Mammalia; Chiroptera; Vespertilionidae.